GGGUAUUAGCUCAGUCGGUAGAGCACUUGACUUUUAAGGUAGAACACCAGCCUUCCAAGCUGGAUACGUGGGUUCGAUUCCCAUCACCCG
Molecule: transfer RNA, 90 nt
Filed under: Clostridium sp. CAG:149
Lineage: Bacteria; Bacillati; Bacillota; Clostridia; Eubacteriales; Clostridiaceae
Description: transfer RNA-Pseudo(TTT)
Rfam family: tRNA (bases 28-86)
About the family: Transfer RNA (tRNA) molecules are approximately 80 nucleotides in length.
Source: RNAcentral